This 254-nucleotide ribosomal RNA is filed under the name uncultured bacterium. RNAcentral describes it as "partial 16S ribosomal RNA". It matches the Rfam family "Bacterial small subunit ribosomal RNA", at positions 524 to 776 of the family's 1533-position model. The record is from RNAcentral.
UACGGAGGGUGCAAGCGUUGUCCGGAUUUAUUGGGUUUAAAGGGUAGCGUAGGUGGUUUUCUAAGUCUGGUUUGAAAGCAAGCGGCUUAACCGUUUGAUGUGGCUGGAAACUGGAGGACUUGAAUGGGUUGGCGGUAGCCGGAAUGGGUCAUGUAGCGGUGAAAUGCAUAGAUAUGACCCGGAACACCGAUUGCGAAGGCAGGCUACUACGACUUGAUUGACACUGAGGCACGAGAGCAUGGGUAGCGAACAGG